Camellia sinensis is the source of this 789-nucleotide long non-coding RNA. RefSeq lists it as uncharacterized. The record is from RefSeq and is a predicted model, not a curated record. NCBI's taxonomy places the organism in Eukaryota, Viridiplantae, Streptophyta, Magnoliopsida, Ericales, Theaceae.
GGUGAUGUCACGUGAAUCUAGUUCCGUUGCCGCUGUUUCAAGCCUCUUUUUCCAUUUCCUUUUGUUUGUGAACCCUAACCCCUCUUUGAGAGAGACAAACAGAGAAGGCAAUGCAGGUAGCCGACUGACUCCUGAGGUUCUCAGGCAUUCCCUCCCUUCCAAGAUCUUCUAGCCACCUUCAGAGUCGUCUCUCUCCAGAGGAUCCAAAUGGGUUCUUUAGUCCGAUCUCAAAAAUGCCUCUUCUGUCUCCCGCAAAGCAUUGAACCCUCUUCGGGCUUACGUUUCUCUCCCUCAGGUCACAUUUGGCCCCAAAAGGUGGCAGUUGCCUAAUAUAGAUAGCUCUGUUUUAGCGUCCACUGCCAAUGAAUUACGCCGUGACAAAUACACACCUGUUAAUCCUGAGAAGUUGAAGGCUGCAGCUGUAGGGCUAUCACAAAUGCCGCCUUGAUGGUUGGACAGGCAGCGUCCAAACUAGAGCUGCACAAUGUAAGCAAGUAGUUCGCCUGUAAAGAGCAUCGUGAAACUGUAAUUUGCAAUCUUUGGCAACAAAUCUAGACAUGGAGGCCAUAGAAGAUUGGAUGGAAAGGGAAAGACAAAGAAUCGAUGGAGGGGGUUUGCAAUCUCGAGGCUGCAAUUUGAAAUCUUUGCAAUUAAUUCCUUUUUUUGAUUUAUUUGAUUUGUUUGGAAAUCUGGGUAUGAUAUUUGGUUUGAAAUCUGGAUUUCUAAGAUGCACUGCAAGUGCUUGUGAAAAUGUUUGAUUGAAUAUAGUUGUUUCACUUUUGUUAACAA